Molecule: non-coding RNA, 69 nt
Organism: Podarcis lilfordi (Lilford's wall lizard)
Lineage: Eukaryota; Metazoa; Chordata; Lepidosauria; Squamata; Lacertidae
Source: the annotation of a GenBank genome assembly
GCAGUUGCUCAGUGGUAGAACAUCUGCUUUGCAUGCAGAAGGUCUCAGGUUUGAUCGCUGGCAUCUCCA